UACGGAGGAUGCAAGCGUUAUCCGGAAUGAUUGGGCGUAAAGGGUCCGCAGGUGGCAUUGUAAGUCUGCUGUUAAAGAGUCUAGCUCAACUAGAUAAGAGCAGUGGAAACUACAAAGCUAGAGUUUGGUCGGGGCAGAAGGAAUUCCUGGUGUAGCGGUGAAAUGCGUAGAUAUCAGGAAGAACACCAGCGGCGAAGGCGUUCUGCUAGGCCGAGACUGACACUGAGGGACGAAAGCUAGGGGAGCGAAUGGG
RNAcentral lists this unclassified non-coding RNA (253 nucleotides) under uncultured cyanobacterium. RNAcentral's name for it is "contains 16S-23S intergenic spacer region". It matches the Rfam family "Bacterial small subunit ribosomal RNA", at positions 524 to 776 of the family's 1533-position model. Lineage: Bacteria; Bacillati; Cyanobacteriota. The record is from RNAcentral.